Long non-coding RNA from Brachypodium distachyon (stiff brome), 628 nucleotides. RefSeq lists it as uncharacterized. NCBI's taxonomy places the organism in Eukaryota, Viridiplantae, Streptophyta, Magnoliopsida, Poales, Poaceae. The record is from RefSeq and is a predicted model, not a curated record. The transcript has 2 exons.
CCGCCGCCGCCAGUCUACAGCCUCCAGGCCCCUGUCUUGCCCUCGCCAAGCCUAGCCAGACGCGGCCGGCGGCCCCCGCGGCGCUAGGUCGCUUGGACCUGGGCUCGCCGUCUGGCGGUCCGGCCUCCCUGCCCCGGUGCUCCCCCGACUCGGCGACUCCCACUUCCAGUACCCAAUCGGUCUCAUAUCACAGGUGUUUCCAUUGCUUCGUUGGAGUAUUUGACCACUUGUGCACGCAUUGGCUGGCUUCCUAGUGACUGGGCAGCUUGGAUUCAUAAUAUUAUCAAAUUUCUAUUUGGUGUCAGAGCCUCCUCAAACCCUAUCUCAUCUUGAUCCACUACCGGAUUCGCCACCGUUGCCGAGUGCCUGAGGUGACACACUUCUUUGGUAGACAGUGAUCUCUACCGCCGUGUCAGGGGGAUGACCCCGAGUAGGGUCAUAGCGACAUAACUCUAUCCGAGAUGACGGAGGCAAAACCGUCAUAGUUACAUAUGCCGGCAUCCUAAAGUUAAACUAACAUUAAGCAGGCAUCCCGGGCGUAUGUCGGCAUGGCUAUCUUGUCUUAUGAGUUCGCAGAAUAAGGACGAGCACUUUGAUCUCGGCGAUAGCCGAGAUCACUUAACGGUCU